RNAcentral lists this ribosomal RNA (454 nucleotides) under uncultured cyanobacterium. Its description in RNAcentral is "bacterial SSU rRNA". It matches the Rfam family "Bacterial small subunit ribosomal RNA", at positions 341 to 810 of the family's 1533-position model. Lineage: Bacteria; Bacillati; Cyanobacteriota. The record is from RNAcentral.
AUUGUAUCCACGAUUGGGGAAUUUUCCGCAAUGGGCGAAAGCCUGACGGAGCAAGACCGCGUGAGGGAAGAAGGCUCUUGGGUCGUAAACCUCUUUUAUCAGGGAAGAAAAAAAUGACGGUACCUGAAGAAUCAGCCUCGGCUGACUCCGUGCCAGCAGCCGCGGUAAUACGGAGGAGGCAAGCGUUAUCCGGAAUUAUUGGGCGUAAAGCGUCCGCAGGUGGCUUAUCAAGUCUGCUGUCAAAGAGUGGGGCUUAACCCAUAAAGGCAGUGGAAACUGAGAAGCUAGAGUGCCGUAGGGGUAGAGGGAAUUCCUGGUGUAGCGGUGAAAUGCGUAGAGAUCAGGAAGAACACCGGUGGCGAAAGCGCUCUGCUGGACCUUAACUGACACUGAGGGACGAAAGCUAGGGGAGCGAAUGGGAUUAGAUACCCCAGUAGUCAAUCGUGGAUACAAU